Molecule: ribosomal RNA, 529 nt
Filed under: Vibrio rotiferianus
Lineage: Bacteria; Pseudomonadati; Pseudomonadota; Gammaproteobacteria; Vibrionales; Vibrionaceae
Description: bacterial SSU rRNA
Rfam family: Bacterial small subunit ribosomal RNA
Source: RNAcentral
AAAUUGAAGAGUUUGAUCAUGGCUCAGAUUGAACGCUGGCGGCAGGCCUAACACAUGCAAGUCGAGCGGAAACGAGUUAUCUGAACCUUCGGGGAACGAUAACGGCGUCGAGCGGCGGACGGGUGAGUAAUGCCUAGGAAAUUGCCCUGAUGUGGGGGAUAACCAUUGGAAACGAUGGCUAAUACCGCAUAAUGCCUACGGGCCAAAGAGGGGGACCUUCGGGCCUCUCGCGUCAGGAUAUGCCUAGGUGGGAUUAGCUAGUUGGUGAGGUAAUGGCUCACCAAGGCGACGAUCCCUAGCUGGUCUGAGAGGAUGAUCAGCCACACUGGAACUGAGACACGGUCCAGACUCCUACGGGAGGCAGCAGUGGGGAAUAUUGCACAAUGGGCGCAAGCCUGAUGCAGCCAUGCCGCGUGUGUGAAGAAGGCCUUCGGGUUGUAAAGCACUUUCAGUCGUGAGGAAGGUAGUGUAGUUAAUAGCUGCAUUAUUUGACGUUAGCGACAGAAGAAGCACCGGCUAACUCCGUGCC